UGAUGCCCCGCGCGGUGAAGAUGAGCAAAUGGAACACGGAGCGGAGCAGCCGCGGUGACAGCUGAGUUUCCUGACAGAGACACUGAAGCGACCACGGACCCGCUCAGGUGAAACCAACAUGACACACUCGGGACAGGACAGAAGCCGGCCGGUAAAGCAGCACUAGCGGAGAUCGUUUAAUUUAAUGGGAAUACACUAAACCAGACAGUUCCCUCUCCUGCACAGAUCAUCACAUGCUAACUACUGCAGGCUCACAUCACACUCUCCAACAAGUUUGAACCUGAUGCCCUGAGAGCCUGUCUUAUCUCCCUGAGC
Molecule: long non-coding RNA, 315 nt
Organism: Limanda limanda (common dab)
Lineage: Eukaryota; Metazoa; Chordata; Actinopteri; Pleuronectiformes; Pleuronectidae
Exons: 3
Source: RefSeq, a predicted model, not a curated record